ACUACGGGAGGCUGCAGUGAGGAAUAUUGGUCAAUGGCCGGAAGGCUGAACCAGCCAUGCCGCGUGAAGGGCAGGGACCUAUGGGCGUUAAACUUCUUUUGUGCGGGAGCAAUAAUGGUCACGUGUGGCCAGACGAGAGUACCGUACGAAUAAGCAUCGGCUAACCCCGUGCCAGCAGCCGCGGUAAUACGGGGGAUGCAAGCGUUAUCCGGAUUUAUUGGGUUUAAAGGGGGCGUAGGCUGUGAGGUAAGUCAGCGGUGAAAUGCCCCGGCUCAACGGGGUGAAGUGCCAUUGAUACUGCCUUGCUGGAGUGCGGAUGCCGUGGGAGGAAUGUGUGGUGUAGCGGUGAAAUGCAUAGAUAUCACGCAGAACACCGAUUGCGAAGGCAUCUCACGAAUCCGCGAUUGACGCUGAUGCACGAAAGCGUGGGUAUCAAACAGGAUUAGAUACCCCAGUAGUC
Molecule: ribosomal RNA, 460 nt
Filed under: uncultured bacterium
Lineage: Bacteria
Description: partial 16S ribosomal RNA
Rfam family: Bacterial small subunit ribosomal RNA
Source: RNAcentral